AGUGAACGCUGGCGGUAGGCCUAACACAUGCAAGUCGAACGGCAGCACAGUAAGAGCUUGCUCUUACGGGUGGCGAGUGGCGGACGGGUGAGGAAUACAUCGGAAUCUACUUGUUCGUGGGGGAUAACGUAGGGAAACUUACGCUAAUACCGCAUACGACCUACGUGUGAAAGCAGGGGAUCUUCGGACCUUGCGCGAUUGAAUGAGCCGAUGUCGGAUUAGCUAGUUGGCGGGGUAAAGGCCCACCAAGGCGACGAUCCGUAGCUGGUCUGAGAGGAUGAUCAGUCACACUGGAACUGAGACACGGUCCAGACUCCUACGGGAGGCAGCAGUGGGGAAUAUUGGACAAUGGGCGCAAGCCUGAUCCAGCCAUACCGCGUGGGUGAAGAAGGCCUUCGGAUUGUAAAGCCCUUUUGUUGGGAAAGAAAAGCAGCAGGUUAAUACCCCGCUGUUCUGACGGUACCCAAAGAAUAAGCACCGGCUAACUUCGUG
This 492-nucleotide ribosomal RNA is filed under the name uncultured bacterium. RNAcentral describes it as "partial 16S ribosomal RNA". It matches the Rfam family "Bacterial small subunit ribosomal RNA", at positions 29 to 507 of the family's 1533-position model. The record is from RNAcentral.